Long non-coding RNA from Peromyscus californicus insignis, 3418 nucleotides. RefSeq lists it as uncharacterized. NCBI's taxonomy places the organism in Eukaryota, Metazoa, Chordata, Mammalia, Rodentia, Cricetidae. The record is from RefSeq and is a predicted model, not a curated record. The transcript is spliced from 3 exons.
GGAUCUCUCACUGAACCUGGAGCACACUGAUUCAGCUAAAGAACCCGGACAGCAAGCCCCAGGGUUCUUCUUGUUUCUGCCUCACCAGCACUGAGAUUACAGGAUUCCCCAAACUACUCCUAAUAUUUGGCUGUGGGUCUGCGUCUGUUUCUAAACAUUUUUUAGGAGAUUUGUUUUAUGUGCAUGGGUGUUUUACCUGCACAUAUGUCUGUGUACCACAUGCGUGCAGUGCCUGUGGAAGCCAGAAGAGGGCGCUGGAUACCUUGGAACCGGAGUUACAGAUGAUGGUCAACUGGCCUGUGGGUCCUGGGAAGCCACGCCAGUCCUCCGGACAAGCAGCCAGUGCUUGUCAUCUCAGCCAUCUCUCUAGCACCUUGCCUACUCUCAAAUCUGUAACUUGGACUGUUUUCUUAAGAUUCAGGCUCUAGAAAUCCUAAUUCAUUCCAGAAAUUUCACCGGGUCCCAGAGUGGCCUAGAGCUGGGCAGGAACAGAUCUCCUGGAUCCUGACGGAGGGUCCUCAGUCCAUAUGUAAGCUGCAUCUUCGUGCAGUGCUGUGAGGACUUGGAAUUGCCACCUCCCUGGGAAGAGCUCUUCCUCUACAAUGACGAAGACAGAUGUUGAGGCAGUGCCCGUGGUCAUGAUUCGCUAGAAAGCGGGUCUGCUUCUCCACAGGCUCCGCCUGGUAGUGCUCACACUUUAGAAUCUUGGGACAGAGGUGCCUCAGUGCCACCCUAAUGUCCUCCCCUCCCUCCCUUCUGUUGCUGUGACAAGCUGUCAGUGUUGAGGACGGAGCCGCUCCUCAGAGCUGGAAGUCACUGGAAGAUGGCAUUAGCUCCUCCUGCCACCCGGCCCAGGAACUGUGAAGAGGAAGAAAUCCCUCCUGUCAGGAGUUGAGUCAGGGGACCAGGGUGGCUGACAAUGAGCAGAGGCUUUGUCAAGAUUCCUGAGAAUGGAAGGGGACCUGAGUUUCCAGAAUCUUCUGAGGCUGGACAUUUGGACAGCCCCACAGCUCUCACUUGCAGCCCAUGUCUCAGUGCUGCUCUCCUAACACACCUGACUGUGGCUGCUGCGUCCUGGACUCUGAGGCCCAAGCUGAUCCAUCUUCUAGACUGGAACAACAGAGGUGAGCAGCCGUGGCAUUCACCAAGUAGGGCAUCUGUCACAGCUGAGAAGAGUAGGUCUCAUGGUGAGGGUUGGGCUUCCACCAUCCAACUGCAGUUCAGAGCUCAAUCACCUGGGGUGCACAUCUGCAGGGAGGCACUCCAUCCCUCAGACUCAGUCCUCCCUUUGCCCUGGACCCACCUCUGUCCUAGGAGCCCCUCAUUCUGCUGUGGGUAGGACCAGCAGAUCUACUCAAAACGAGUCUUUUGGGGGCACCCUCUUCCUUACUGAACCGAGAACUCAGCCCAGAACUGCUGAGAUGAGGUGGGGGUGAUCUCCCAAUCUGCCAAAGCUUUUAGAAAAACUGGAGGCCCGUGCGAGGAGUCCUCACACUUCAGAUGAACCAGCCUCCGUCCCAGCUUCUGAUCGGGAAGCCAAGUCCGGACAGGACAGGGCCCCACCCAAACCGCCUUUCCCAAGAUGGGCUCAUGCCCUUACCCUGGGUGUCCCAUACUCGGGUGUUAGUGAGUUUGGAAGAGGGCAUAUGGAAAUGGGGAUAGGAUUAUGAUGAUAAUUCAAGUUGUGCGGUCUGAGGCUUCAUGAAAAGGAGUCCAGAGCCUUCCCAGAAAAUCAGGCGAAGGCCGGCAAUUCAGGAACUGCAAUAUUAUGUGACUCUGAGUAGGUCGUGUGCUCCUUCUGGUGGUAGAAGGAGGAAUUGCACCCCAAGGCCUCUAGGUCUCCAAGCUAUGUAUCCGUGAGGCAAGGGUCACUUUCAAGACUCGAUUUAUAUUCUGUAAUUCAGUACAGCUCUUUAGAGUGAAGGGCAAGUUCAGUAACUCUCAGUGUGUGAAUUUCCAGGAGAGUGAAGGGAACUGUCCUGGCCCAGAAGCAGGUCACAGAAUCAGAAUGUCCCCUGGAGCUGUGGUCCUCAGCCCUGGGCAGGCUCACUGAGCCUCAGCCUGGGUGAGGGCCCCAGAGGGCAUGGGGACAGGAAGGCAGGCUCGCCAGCUAAUCUCAUGCCUGUGCCCAGCUCUCCCUGCUCAAGGAUGACAUACGGGUAGGCCCAGGUCAGGCAAAGUCCCCAAGGUCCACCUCCCGUGUGCAGGUCUGGUCACUUAGAGAACAGAGCAGGAGACAUGGUGAGAGGUUGAGGGAGGAGAAGUGACCCAUCCAAGACCAUUUAAGUGAUGGGCUGGUGAACAGAACAUUCUAGAAAUGUGACUUCUUUCCAGGGCUCCCACUUCUCUGUAGUGAACCACAGACCUUGAAUACUCUGCCUUGGCCCUGCAUCCAGAAACCUUGAAGAGCUUAGCUCCUCCCCAGUCCUAACCCUGGCCAGAUCUGCUCGACCUCUGCUCAUUCCUCCCACCCUCUAGAAGGAGCUCAAGCAUAGCAUAACCAAGUUCUACUUAAUGGUGGGGUCACAUUUUGUCAGUGGUGUGAUACGGAGCCUAGUAACCAGACUUUACCUAGUUGGCUACUGGUCUCAGCUGGCUCCCGCCCUUCCACCCCAGGCUUCUCUAUCUCUUAGUUCUCACAGAAAAAGGCAGGCAGGAUGUCACCCUGUGUAGACAAGUCACUGCCUUUCUUGCGGGGGAGGGGUUAAGCGUCCCCUCCCAUACAAUGGAAUGGUCUCAAAGGACUGUCCUCAAUUACCUAGGGAUGAAUGGGCAGGUGGGUAGGUGGGCUUCAGAGCCUAGGGGCAAAGGGUUAGGACAGAAGGCUUAAGUACCCAGUGAAAUGGCCUGUCCACCCUGACUGUAUGGUCCACCCAAACACAGUCUGUUCCUUUCAAAUGCUGUCACCCAGGGUUCUGCUCAGAUACUCUGAGAUGCAGAUAAGGAAGCCAGGCACCAGAUGGUACCAGCAUCCUGCCAGCCCUCCAGUCUCCUUGGAGAUUUCAUGUGAACGGAGGGAGAGGGAGAUGGACCCCUUUGUAGGUCUCUGUCCGGAUGGACAGGGCUGAAGGAAGCAGUAACCAUGGAUUCACUCUCACUGUUCACUCUUGGCCCAGGGACGAAGCAAGCCAACACCCAAAUAGAUGGCUAGGACGGGGUCCAGCUGGAGUUCCUUGGGCACCACCCACCCAAGGAGGGUGGUUUGACGGGUGUGCCGGGAACAUGAGCUGAAGCCCAGCACCAGGCUUUUCAGACCCACCCACCCUGAACAGCAGUGCAUCUUGAUGAAACCCGUGAAUGUGGACACAGACAGCUACCUCUUAGGUGGCCAAGAGCACCCAAGAAGCAAGUUCCCCAUGGAAGCACCCAGGCUUCAACAGCAGCAGCAUCCAGCAUGACCCAACAGACCCAGUCACCU